This 420-nucleotide long non-coding RNA is filed under the name Panax ginseng (ginseng). Its description in RNAcentral is "long non-coding RNA (PGIN_LNC001961)". Lineage: Eukaryota; Viridiplantae; Streptophyta; Magnoliopsida; Apiales; Araliaceae. The record is from RNAcentral.
AGUUCCAGAUUCAAGAUCUCCUGACAGAGUACAAGUACAAACCUUUAAAACACAUAAAACCAUAACAGAUAGAGAUCUAUGGGAUCUGACAUUCACUGUCAGACCCUUAUUUUCAAAAAUUCCAGAUUUCAAAAAUCAUCAAAUCUGAGCCUCUAGAUGUUAUGGGUUUAACAUCUAGCAACCCAGAUCAUUGAUUAACACCCCAUACAACAUAUUUUAACAAUCAAUUAUAAGAUCUAACAUCAAAUCACAGAAUUUUUAAGUAGGAUUCUUUUAUACCUUUUUGCACCUUGAUUCUUGAUUUCUUGCUUCUGAUUUGAUGUUAGUGUUCGUGGGGCUUGAUUGGGGACUGAUCUAGCAAGGAAAUUUCGUGGGUUUGGUCUUGAGAGAGUAUGGCUAAGUGUUUGUUGCACAAAUAAG